This 26-nucleotide small RNA is filed under the name Arabidopsis thaliana (thale cress). RNAcentral describes it as "ATSL252270". Lineage: Eukaryota; Viridiplantae; Streptophyta; Magnoliopsida; Brassicales; Brassicaceae. The record is from RNAcentral.
CUGGACACCAAAGGUAGAAUCGGCUU